UCCUACGGGAGGCAGCAGUGGGGAAUAUUGCACAAUGGGCGCAAGCCUGAUGCAGCGACGCCGCGUGAGGGAUGGAGGCCUUCGGGUUGUAAACCUCUUUUGUUAGGGAGCAAGGCACUUUGUGUUGAGUGUACCUUUCGAAUAAGCACCGGCUAACUACGUGCCAGCAGCCGCGGUAAUACGUAGGGUGCAAGCGUUAUCCGGAAUUAUUGGGCGUAAAGGGCUCGUAGGCGGUUCGUCGCGUCCGGUGUGAAAGUCCAUCGCUUAACGGUGGAUCCGCGCCGGGUACGGGCGGGCUUGAGUGCGGUAGGGGAGACUGGAAUUCCCGGUGUAACGGUGGAAUGUGUAGAUAUNGGGAAGAACACCAAUGGCGAAGGCAGGUCUCUGGGCCGUUACUGACGCUGAGGAGCGAAAGCGUGGGGAGCGAACAGGAUUAGAUACCCUGGUAGUCCACGCCGUAAACGGUGGAUGCUGGAUGUGGGGCCCGUUCCACGGGUUCCGUGUCGGAGCUAACGCGUUAAGCAUCCCGCCUGGGGAGUACGGCCGCAAGGCUAAAACUCAAAGAAAUUGACGGGGGCCCGCACAAGCGGCGGAGCAUGCGGAUUAAUUCGAUGCAACGCGAAGAACCUUACCUGGGCUUGACAUGUUCCCGACGAUCCCAGAGAUGGGGUUUCCCUUCGGGGCGGGUUCACAGGUGGUGCAUGGUCGUCGUCAGCUCGUGUCGUGAGAUGUUGGGUUAAGUCCCGCAACGAGCGCAACCCUCGCCCCGUGUUGCCAGCGGAUUAUGCCGGGAACUCACGGGGGACCGCCGGGGUUAACUCGGAGGAAGGUGGGGAUGACGUCAGAUCAUCAUGCCCCUUACGUCCAGGGCUUCACGCAUGCUACAAUGGCCGGUACAACGGGAUGCGACAGUGCGAGCUGGAGCGGAUCCCUGAAAACCGGUCUCAGUUCGGAUCGCAGUCUGCAACUCGACUGCGUGAAGGCGGAGUCGCUAGUAAUCGCGAAUCAGCAACGUCGCGGUGAAUGCGUUCCCGGGCCUUGUACACACC
Molecule: ribosomal RNA, 1049 nt
Filed under: human gut metagenome
Description: bacterial SSU rRNA
Rfam family: Bacterial small subunit ribosomal RNA
Source: RNAcentral